CAAAAGGGGGUGUCAGUGCACGAAGGGUGGAAGAGGGGGAGAAGGCCGAGGUGCACAUUUUCGGGGACCACAACAUCCUAAGGGAUCAUUGGGACAGUUGGAGAAACAGAUCAAGCUUCCAGGAACAAUACCUUGAGGCACACCACAGACCGGGAGGGAGUUGUUGUCUGUUACCACCACAAACUCCAGAACCACUCCACAGAUCUGUCCUGAGGAGGAAGCGGCCACCGCCACUGCCACUGACUCCAUAACCGUAUUUCACGGAUUAGAGAGGAGACUCCAUCACUACCUCUACCUCUGGUGCCAUUCAUACCAUCAAAACAUGAAUUCCCCAUGCAGACCCUAUUUUCCCGCAGGGCUGAAACCAGGCUUAGAAAAGAAUAAUCCGGGCAAGGAAGAGCCAGUCAAGAUGGAUCAUGCAAAUAAAG
This 428-nucleotide long non-coding RNA is filed under the name Equus asinus (donkey). Its description in RNAcentral is "lncRNA (ENSEASG00005033796.1)". Lineage: Eukaryota; Metazoa; Chordata; Mammalia; Perissodactyla; Equidae. The record is from RNAcentral.